CCCAACAAAUCAACACGCAUUCAACCAUCAACGACGACCACCACUCUCUCAAUCUCCACCGCAGAAGCCGCCGGUAGCCACCAUCAAAGCACCGCUGCAUUCAUCUUUUCCUCCAUCACCGACCUCCAAAGCUUUGCCGAACUCCUCUGUUAGCCGUCGCAGGUCACGAGGCCUCCUUCUCCUUCAUCUUCAUCAACCUAAAAAUCCCAAACAACAGAGUUCUCUACCAAAUCGCACCAUGGCCGCCGCGCUUUCUAUCAUCUGCGAGCACCUCCUCCACUCCCAAACUCCAUGGAAACCGUGAAGCAUCUUCACGAGUCUGCGCCACCACCUGCAUCAAAACCAAACCUGCAACAAACAAACCCAGAAGCAGAAAAUCCAAUUCCAGGUUCGCGCAUUCCUUUUUCGCAUUCAGAAGUUUUUCUUCGAGCUCCAUGGAAGCACCAUUCAAACCAUCAAUCCUCUUCGAAAGAAAUAUCCGUUGUGCAUCCCAAAUGGGUUUUCUGAUUUUAUUAGAUCUGAUUAUUUUUUACAGUGGGAGGGUUCUUGAAUCCCUUUUUUCGUGCU
Molecule: long non-coding RNA, 567 nt
Filed under: Vigna radiata
Lineage: Eukaryota; Viridiplantae; Streptophyta; Magnoliopsida; Fabales; Fabaceae
Description: long non-coding RNA (VRAD_LNC016547)
Source: RNAcentral